RNAcentral lists this ribosomal RNA (584 nucleotides) under uncultured Propionibacteriaceae bacterium. RNAcentral describes it as "bacterial SSU rRNA". It matches the Rfam family "Bacterial small subunit ribosomal RNA", at positions 318 to 916 of the family's 1533-position model. Lineage: Bacteria; Bacillati; Actinomycetota; Actinomycetes; Propionibacteriales; Propionibacteriaceae. The record is from RNAcentral.
CCUGCNGUCGACGAUUCCUACGGGAGGCAGCAGUGGGGAAUAUUGCGCAAUGGGCGAAAGCCUGACGCAGCAACGCCGCGUGCGGGAUGACGGCCUUCGGGUUGUAAACCGCUUUCAGCAGGGACGAAGUGAAAAUGACGGUACCUGCAGAAGAAGCACCGGCUAACUACGUGCCAGCAGCCGCGGUGAUACGUAGGGUGCGAGCGUUGUCCGGAAUUAUUGGGCGUAAAGAGCUUGUAGGCGGUCUGUUGCGUCGGAAGUGAAAACUCAGGGCUUAACCCUGAGCCUGCUUUCGAUACGGGCAGACUUGAGGGAUGUAGGGGAGAACGGAAUUCCUGGUGGAGCGGUGGAAUGCGCAGAUAUCAGGAGGAACACCAGUGGCGAAGGCGGUUCUCUGGACAUUUCCUGACGCUGAGAAGCGAAAGCGUGGGGAGCAAACAGGCUUAGAUACCCUGGUAGUCCACGCCGUAAACGGUGGGCACUAGGUGUGGGACCCAUUCCACGGGUUCCGUGCCGUAGCUAACGCAUUAAGUGCCCCGCCUGGGGAGUACGGCCGCAAGGCUAAAACUCAAAGGAAUUGACGG